Molecule: ribosomal RNA, 437 nt
Filed under: uncultured bacterium
Lineage: Bacteria
Description: bacterial SSU rRNA
Rfam family: Bacterial small subunit ribosomal RNA
Source: RNAcentral
GCACAACGCGAAGAACCUUACCAGGGCUUAAAUGGGAGAUGAAUAAUUUGGAAACAGAUUAGCCUUCGGGCAUCUUUCAAGGUGCUGCAUGGCUGUCGUCAGCUCGUGCCGUGAGGUGUUGGGUUAAGUCCCGCAACGAGCGCAACCCUCGUUCUAUGUUGCCAGCGCGUAAUGGCGGGGACUCAUAGGAGACUGCCGGGGUCAACUCGGAGGAAGGUGGGGAUGACGUCAAAUCAUCAUGCCCCUUAUGUCUUGGGCUUCACGCAUGCUACAAUGGCCGGUACAAAGGGCUGCAAUACCGCAAGGUGGAGCGAAUCCCAAAAAGCCGGUCCCAGUUCGGAUUGAGGUCUGCAACUCGACCUCAUGAAGUCGGAGUCGCUAGUAAUCGCAGAUCAGCAACGCUGCGGUGAAUACGUUCCCGGGUCUUGUACACACCG